Molecule: ribosomal RNA, 492 nt
Filed under: uncultured bacterium
Lineage: Bacteria
Description: SSU rRNA
Rfam family: Bacterial small subunit ribosomal RNA
Source: RNAcentral
AGGACGAACGCUGGCGGCGUGCUUAACACAUGCAAGUGGAGCGACGAACCAGGGCUUGCCCUGGGGCAGAGCCGCGAACGGGUGAGUAACACGUGGGUAAACCUACCCCGAUGAUUGGGACAACCCGAGGAAACUCGGGCUAAUACCAAAUGUGCUGUGGACCCGUAGGGGUGCACAGGAAAGGAAGCUUCGGCCUCCGCAUCGGGAUGGGCCCGCGGCCCAUUAGUUUGUUGGUGGGGUAAAGGCCUACCAAGACUUCGAUGGGUAGCUGGUCUGAGAGGACGAUCAGCCACACUGGGACUGAGACACGGCCCAGACUCCUACGGGAGGCAGCAGUGGGGGAAUCUUGCGCAAUGGGCGGAAGCCUGACGCAGCGACGCCGCGUGCGGGAUGAAGGCCUUCGGGUUGUAAACCGCUUUCACCAGGGACGAAGCGAGAGUGACGGUACCUGGGGAAGAGCGCCGGCUAACUACGCGCCAGCAGCCGCGGUAA